RNAcentral lists this ribosomal RNA (2961 nucleotides) under Paenibacillus protaetiae. RNAcentral's name for it is "Paenibacillus sp. FW100M-2 23S ribosomal RNA". It matches the Rfam family "Bacterial large subunit ribosomal RNA". The record is from RNAcentral. Lineage: Bacteria; Bacillati; Bacillota; Bacilli; Caryophanales; Paenibacillaceae.
AGGUUAAGCUAAUAAGAGCGCACGGAGGAUGCCUAGGCACUAGGAGCCGAAGAAGGACGUGGCGAACAACGAAACUGCCUCGGGGAGCUGUAAGCAAGCUUUGAUCCGGGGGUGUCCGAAUGGGGAAACCCGGCUGUCGUAAUGGGCAGUCACCGCUGACUGAAUACAUAGGUCAGAGGGAGGCAAACCAGGGGAACUGAAACAUCUAAGUACCCUGAGGAAGAGAAAACAAAAGUGAUUCCGUCAGUAGCGGCGAGCGAAAGCGGAACAGCCCAAACCAAGGAGCUUGCUCCUUGGGGUUGUAGGACGUCUCACAUGGAGUUACAAAGGUGUUGGGUAGGCGAAGAGGUCUGGAAAGGCCCGCAAGAUGAGGUAAAAGCCCUGUAACCGAAAGUCAGCACCCUCCGAGACGGAUCCUGAGUACCGCGGGACACGAGGAACCCCGUGGGAAUCCGGCAGGACCAUCUGCCAAGGCUAAAUACUCCCUAGUGACCGAUAGUGAAGCAGUACCGUGAGGGAAAGGUGAAAAGCACCGCGGGAGCGGAGUGAAAAAGAACCUGAAACCGUGCGCUUACAAGAAGUCAGAGCCCGUGUGCGUCUUUUCCUUUGGAAAAACGCCGGGUGAUGGCGUGCCUUUUGUAGAAUGAACCGGCGAGUUACGAUCCCAUGCGAGGUUAAGCCGAAGAGGUGGAGCCGCAGCGAAAGCGAGUCUGAAUAGGGCGAAUGAGUAUGUGGUCGUAGACCCGAAACCGUGUGAUCUACCCCUGUCCAGGGUGAAGGUGCGGUAACACGCACUGGAGGCCCGAACCCACGAAUGUUGAAAAAUUCGGGGAUGAGGUGGGGGUAGCGGAGAAAUUCCAAUCGAACUCGGAGAUAGCUGGUUCUCCCCGAAAUAGCUUUAGGGCUAGCCUCGGUAUAGAGUAUCAUGGAGGUAGAGCACUGAUUGGAUGCGGGGCCCGCCAAGGGUUACCAAGUCUAGUCAAACUCCGAAUGCCAUAGAUAUGUUUACCGGGAGUCAGACAGUGAGUGCUAAGAUCCAUUGUCAAAAGGGAAACAGCCCAGAUCAUCAGCUAAGGUCCCCAAGUGUGUGUUAAGUGGGAAAGGAUGUGGAGUUGCAAAGACAACCAGGAUGUUGGCUUAGAAGCAGCCACCAUUUAAAGAGUGCGUAAUAGCUCACUGGUCGAGUGACUCUGCGCCGAAAAUGUAACGGGGCUAAACACACCACCGAAGCUAUGGCUUACACUUUUAAGAAGUGUUAGGGGUAGGGGAGCGUUGUAUAUAGGUUGAAGUCAGACCGUAAGGACUGGUGGACAGUAUACAAGUGAGAAUGCCGGUAUGAGUAACGAAAAGACAAGUGAGAAUCUUGUCCGCCGAAAGCCUAAGGUUUCCUGAGGAAGGCUCGUCCGCUCAGGGUAAGUCGGGACCUAACGCGAGGCCGAAAGGCGUAGUGGAAGGACAACAGGUUGAAAUUCCUGUACCACCGUAAACCGUUAUGAGCAAUGGGGUGACGCAGAAGGGUAGUGACGCGGACUGAUGGAAUAGUCCGUCCAAGCAGUGAGGCUGAUGUGUAGGCAAAUCCGCACAUCGAAAGGCUGGGCUGUGAUGGGGAGGGAAAUUUAGAGUACCGAAGGUCAUGAUCUCCGGCUGCCGAGAAAAGCCUCUAGCCAGGUGAAGGUGCCCGUACCGCAAACCGACACAGGUAGGCGAGCAGAGCAUGCUAAGGCGCGCGGAGUAACUCUCGUUAAGGAACUCGGCAAAAUGACCCCGUAACUUCGGGAGAAGGGGUGCCUCGGUAGGGUGAAUAGCCCGAGGGGCCGCAGUGAAAAGGCCCAAGCGACUGUUUAGCAAAAACACAGGUCUGUGCGAAGCCGCAAGGCGAAGUAUACGGGCUGACGCCUGCCCGGUGCUGGAAGGUUAAGGGGAGCGGUUAGGGAGUAGUCCCGAAGCUGUGAACCGAAGCCCCAGUAAACGGCGGCCGUAACUAUAACGGUCCUAAGGUAGCGAAAUUCCUUGUCAGGUAAAUUCUGACCCGCACGAAUGGCGUAACGACUUGGGCGCUGUCUCAACGAGAGAUCCGGUGAAAUUUUAAUACCUGUGAAGAUGCAGGUUACCCGCGACAAGACGGAAAGACCCCAUGGAGCUUUACUGCAGCUUGAUAUUGGACUUUGGUACGAUCUGUACAGGAUAGGUGGGAGCCUGGGAAGCAUGAGCGCCAGCUUGUGUGGAGGCGACGUUGGGAUACCACCCUGAUCGUAUCGGAGUUCUAACCCGCUACCGUGAAUCCGGUAGGGGGACCGUGUCAGGCGGGCAGUUUGACUGGGGCGGUCGCCUCCUAAAAAGUAACGGAGGCGCCCAAAGGUUCCCUCAGAAUGGUUGGAAAUCAUUCGGAGAGUGCAAAGGCAUAAGGGAGCUUGACUGCGAGACCAACAAGUCGAGCAGGGACGAAAGUCGGGCUUAGUGAUCCGGUGGUACCGCAUGGAAGGGCCAUCGCUCAACGGAUAAAAGCUACCCUGGGGAUAACAGGCUUAUCUCCCCCAAGAGUCCACAUCGACGGGGAGGUUUGGCACCUCGAUGUCGGCUCAUCGCAUCCUGGGGCUGAAGUAGGUCCCAAGGGUUGGGCUGUUCGCCCAUUAAAGCGGUACGCGAGCUGGGUUCAGAACGUCGUGAGACAGUUCGGUCCCUAUCUGUCGUGGGCGUAGGAAAUUUGAGAGGAGCUGUCCUUAGUACGAGAGGACCGGGAUGGACGUACCGCUGGUGUACCAGUUGUUCCGCCAGGAGCACCGCUGGGUAGCUAUGUACGGACGGGAUAAGCGCUGAAAGCAUCUAAGCGUGAAGCCCCCCUCAAGAUGAGAUUUCCCAGUAUGUAAGACCCCUUGUAGACGACGAGGUGGAUAGGUUCGGGGUGGAAGCGCAGCAAUGCGUGCAGCUGACGAAUACUAAUCGGUCGAGGGCUUAUCCUAA